GUUGGGACCAGCCAUUUCCACCUGGUUCCUUGCGAGUGAUGGUCAGCAAAGUGCUUCGACCCUCCACAGCCCCUGAUGGCCUGGAAAGCCAUGUUAAAAUAGAACGGGGGGCCUUCCUGAAGGUCAGAGCCAGAGAAGGAAAGGAGUGAGGCAGCCAAGGUGAAGUGACAGACUGUAAAGUUUCCAAUUCAGGCCAUUCCAGGCUAAUUAAGUGGCACCAGCCCAUCUGUGAUUUACCUCAUGAAAGUAUACACAUUGCAAUGAUAAUAAUUGUGUCUUUCACCACUAAAGAAAAUUUGAAAAGCUCUGGGGAAGGCUCUGAUGGGCCCGGCUCGGGACCACGUGUGUCAUCGAUUUCCCUGCUGGGGUGUGCGUGAGCCUCUCCAGCUCUGCGCCGGCUUCCCUGUCUUGCCUCCAAGUGUUCUGUGGCUCCUGGCUGGUGCCUUGGAGCUCCAGGGGCCUCCCUCUGGGCUCUUCUGCCCUCUCUCCUGCAGACUUCUUCCAGGGCAAACACUUCUUCCUGUACGGGGAGUUCCCUGGGGAGGAGCGGCGGAAGCUCAGCCGAUAUGUCACAGCCUUCAGUGGCGAGCUUGAGGACUAUAUGAGCGACCGGGUCCAGUUUGUGAUCACAGCACAAGAGUGGGACCCCAGCUUUGAGGAGGCCUUGAUGGACAACCCCUCCCUGGUGUUUGUCCGCCCACGAUGGAUCUACAGUUGCAACGAGAAGCAGAAGUUACUUCCCCACCAGCUCUAUGGGGUGGUGCCCCAGGCCUGAGGGGUAUGCUUACCACCUGUGUGCACACACCGUGCAGGAAGAGUUUAAUAAAGGUGACUUGGUUUGGAGCAGCUGCCCCUGCCACUCAGGAGCUCCCAGAACCUCCAAAUGGCUUUUUCA
Manis javanica (Malayan pangolin) is the source of this 895-nucleotide non-coding RNA. The record is from RefSeq and is a predicted model, not a curated record. Lineage: Eukaryota; Metazoa; Chordata; Mammalia; Pholidota; Manidae.